UUUUUUUUUUUUUUUUUUUGCUUUGUUUGAUCCCUAUUUUGUUUUUUUCUUCAUUACAGAUUUAUUAUCGUUAUCGUUUCUUGCAUCUCUCGCGAAAUUCCGGGUAGGCGCGAAUUCUCCCAAUUUGUGACCUAUCAUAGAAUCUGUUAUAUAAAUAGGGAAAUGUUCCUUUCCAUUAUGAAUACCGAUUGUAUGGCCAACCAUUGGGGGUAUAAUGGUAGAUGCCCGAGACCAAGUGACUAUUAUUUCUUUCUCCUCCCCCCUUUUUAUUUUUUGAAUUUUUUUUGAUAAAUGCUUAGCUACAAAUCUUUCUUUUGCUACAAAUCUUUCUUUUGCUACAAAUYUUUUUUUUUGAUGUAUCACAGCUGAUUACUCCUUUUUUUCCAUGUUUGUUAAAGAUUGGCAUUCUAUGUCCAAUAUCUCGAUCUAAGUAU
RNAcentral lists this unclassified non-coding RNA (434 nucleotides) under Schoenus scabripes. RNAcentral describes it as "partial miscellaneous RNA". The record is from RNAcentral. Lineage: Eukaryota; Viridiplantae; Streptophyta; Magnoliopsida; Poales; Cyperaceae.